This 253-nucleotide ribosomal RNA is filed under the name uncultured bacterium. RNAcentral describes it as "partial 16S ribosomal RNA". It matches the Rfam family "Bacterial small subunit ribosomal RNA", at positions 524 to 776 of the family's 1533-position model. The record is from RNAcentral.
UACGGAGGGUGCGAGCGUUGUCCGGAAUCACUGGGCGUAAAGGGCGCGUAGGCGGCGCGGAUAGUCGGCGGUGAAAGCCCGGGGCUCAACCCCGGGUCGGCCGUGCGAACUGUCGAGCUGGAGCACUGUAGAGGCAGGUGGAAUUCCGGGUGUAGCGGUGGAAUGCGUAGAGAUCCGGAAGAACACCGGUGGCGAAGGCGGCCUGCUGGGCAGUGGCUGACGCUGAGGCGCGACAGCGUGGGGAGCAAACAGG